RNAcentral lists this ribosomal RNA (496 nucleotides) under uncultured bacterium. Its description in RNAcentral is "bacterial SSU rRNA". It matches the Rfam family "Bacterial small subunit ribosomal RNA", at positions 8 to 518 of the family's 1533-position model. The record is from RNAcentral.
AGAGUUUGAUUAUGGCUCAGGACGAACGCUGGCGGCAUGCCUAACACAUGCAAGUCGAACGGGAGUGCGGCGCAAGUCGUACUCUAGUGGCGAACGGGUGAGUAACACGUGAGCAACCUGCCUUGUACAACUGGAUACCACUAAGAAAUUAGUGCUAAUACAGUAUAUGACCACACCGAGACAUCUCGGAGGGGUGAAAGCGAUAGCGGUACAAGAUGGGCUCGCGUCCAAUUAGCUAGUUGGUGAGAUAACAGCCCACCAAGGCGACGAUUGGUAGCCGACUUGAGAGAGUGAUCGGCCACACUGGAACUGAGACACGGUCCAGACUCCUACGGGAGGCAGCAGUGGGGAAUAUUGGGCAAUGGAGGAAACUCUUACCCAGACCAAUGCCGCGUGAGUGAAUGAAGGUCUUCGGAUUGUAAAGCUCUUUGAUUGGGGACGAAUAAAUGACGGUACCCAAGGAACAAGCCCCGGCUAACUAUGUGCCAGCAGCCGC